This 253-nucleotide ribosomal RNA is filed under the name uncultured bacterium. RNAcentral describes it as "partial 16S ribosomal RNA". It matches the Rfam family "Bacterial small subunit ribosomal RNA", at positions 524 to 776 of the family's 1533-position model. The record is from RNAcentral.
UACAGAGGGUGCGAGCGUUGUCCGGAAUCACUGGGCGUAAAGGGCGCGUAGGCGGCUAGGUAAGUAGGGGGUGAAAUCUCAUGGCUCAACUGUGAGGCUGCCUUCUAGACUGCUGAGCUGGAGCACAGUAGAGGCGAGUGGAAUUCCCGGUGUAGCGGUGGAAUGCGUAGAGAUCGGGAAGAACAUCGGUGGCGAAGGCGGCUCGCUGGGCUGUUGCUGACGCUGAGGCGCGAAAGCGUGGGGAGCAAACAGG